CGCAGAAACCGGAGCGAAACAGCUGCGGAUCUCCCUCUCCUCCCCAGGCUCCGGGCAACCUAGGCGAGGGGCGCCUAAGAUGGAGAGGAGGUUCGACCGUCUUCCCGGAGCAGAUAGGACCCGCGCGCCAGCCAAUCAGAGCGCGGCUCGGCCGCUCCCCGCCUCAGCCGCAGCCGCAGCCGCAGCCUCCGGGCAAGUGAAGUUCCAGCAACUCGCCCGCCCGAAGAGUCCGAGUCUUUCUUGUGCCCACAGCCCCGCGGAGGCAGAGAGCGCCAUCCAAACUUUAUUAAUCUCUCCCCGUUCUUUCUCCCUCAGUCCAGUGCAUCUCAAAGGAAAAAGAAGGGGGAGAAAUGGUGAAAAGAGCUUUUUUUUUUUUUUAAUCCCCCCCCCCGCCUUUUUUUGUCCUUCAGUGGGAGCGUUUAGACAGUCGAGGAGGUUUUGUCCGGGAACAAAACGCAGGGUUGGGAGGUUUUGUGAGAGUGUUGUUUGUUGAAGUGGAGCUAAGAAAAAGCGGCGGCUUUCUCCUCAUUGUGAAGAAACCAAUCAGUGGUAUUUGGAAAACUGUUAGCAUUGUGCACUUCUUCUGUGUCCAUUGUGAGGCGUUUCUUUUCACAAGGUUUUUUUUUCAGCCGAUCCAGCUGGCCGGAAUGAAUAGCGGUGCAAUGUGUACACGCUUUGUCCCUCCGGCCUUCAAGUAGCCCCCAUUGAAUAGACUAAGUUGACACUGCGUGACAGUGAAACAACAUAAUAAAAAAUACAUGAGCCCCUGAAUAGGAGCAGGCGCAUAAAUAAAUAAAAUGGGUGACCAAAACUGGAUAAACUGAAUGACAAAACGGUGAAAGGGGAACAAAAAGAUAUUUAACACGCUAGAUUAGCAUUAGAAUGCGAUCUACAAGGCAGAACAAUUGAUGAAUAGGUUUACCGGCCAAGAAAGAAAUGGACUAAAUGCCCUUUGAAUAGAUAUGCUUUUUGCAAGGGCUUUGAAUAGAUAUGCUUUUUGCAAGGGCUGAAUGGGAAAAGGUAAAGAUGAAGCUAUGCAAAUGAGCGGGGGAACUUUUUAUAUAUAUUCUUUAAACACACACACACACACUGCGGGAGGAGAGCACUGCCUCCGGGUGUUUAUAGAAGCAAUAAUUGCCAUUAUUAGCAUUGUCUGCAACAGAUAGAAAUUGAACAGGUUGGGAUAAUAUAGGGUAGCAGUAAUUAUUCUUCUAAUUAAUGGUCCUUUGCUACUUGAAAAAAGAAAAAAGGAAAGGAGAAGUAAAAGUUAUGCAGAAGUUAUGUUUCCUUGUGUCCCUUUGCCCAGUGUUGGAAUCCGUGGAGCAGCAAGUCUGGCGAUUCCAAGAUGCAUGCUGAUUUUAGAACAUUCCAGAGAGCCAAUCCUUAGACUCUGGGUUUGGGACCUGGUUUCCAUUUAUGCUGCGUUUUCGAGAGUCUAAUACAGUGUCUGGUACAUGAUAGGUACUGAAUGAAUAGUUGUGGAUUGAAUGAAUAUAAAUUUAAUGUUGGAAUCCUGGCCUCCUGUGGAUGUGGUGGGGGGGAGAAUGACCAUUGACGGCUUUUGCCUUUCACCGCCCCCCCCCCCGCCCCGGGGUGCAGUCCCGGAGGGAAGGUCGCCACCACCUUCCUUCUUGAGGAUUUUGUUUUCAGCCUACGUGGGCCGCUGGAGAAGAUGCGGAAGAUCAAACAAGCUGACGAGCGACUACUGCCCCCCUAUUCCAUCACUCUCACCCCCAAAUCUACCCCAAAGCCAGAGCUUGUGAGGAGCCGGUCCUGGCUGCCUAGUAACAUUGUAUGCACCCCCUCAGAGAAUUAGAAUAUGCUUAAAACUUAGCUCUUUCUCUAGGGUUUCUCCUUUUCCCCCUCCCGCCCUCCCCCCGCCCAAGCCUUUGAUUGAACCCCUCGCCACAGGGAGCCUCCUGGCUGAACUGCCGGCGGAGGCAGGACGCGAACCUGGAGAGAUCUGGAUUGUCCUCAGGUUCCCUGCGCUGCCCUGGAAGCGGGCAUCGGUAACCUUGUCAACGGUUUUCUUUUCGAUGGUUGACCUCCAGGCCUGCCGAGCUGCUGGGCCACCCAGCCAUCGAACUUUCCAGCGGCUUUCAGCUCUGCCCUAACCUAAAUGAAUAAUGCCAAUUCUAGACGGCCCAGCUGACAAAUCCCUGCGAACGCGCAGAGGCUCAGAGGGCUCUCUGAGCAGCAGCUCUCCCGACCUCCCCGACGGCGGGCGGGAAGCCGGGUUUUUAGAAGCAGUGGCAACUGCUUCGGAAUUGUUAUGACUAAG
Molecule: long non-coding RNA, 2281 nt
Filed under: Sus scrofa (pig)
Lineage: Eukaryota; Metazoa; Chordata; Mammalia; Artiodactyla; Suidae
Description: lncRNA (ENSSSCG00045006314.1)
Source: RNAcentral